GCCGGCUUGCGGCUAGUGUGGCGGUGGUGUUGGUUCUGGAAGCCAGAGCGGGCAGGCACAUUCCCUGGACAGGCGGCAGGGCUAUGGUCGCUGGCUCUCAAAGGCCCGCUCCGCUUCGCAGCCCGAUCCUGAGCGCAAGCC
RNAcentral lists this microRNA precursor (141 nucleotides) under Mus caroli (Ryukyu mouse). RNAcentral's name for it is "microRNA 8098 (MGP_CAROLIEiJ_G0007379.1)". The record is from RNAcentral. Lineage: Eukaryota; Metazoa; Chordata; Mammalia; Rodentia; Muridae.